Molecule: long non-coding RNA, 204 nt
Filed under: Lathyrus oleraceus (garden pea)
Lineage: Eukaryota; Viridiplantae; Streptophyta; Magnoliopsida; Fabales; Fabaceae
Description: Pisum sativum (pea) long non-coding RNA (PSAT_LNC006046)
Source: RNAcentral
AAAGCAUGACCAAUCAGAAAUCAGAUCUCAAAAAAUUGACCAAUUAGAAAAGACUAUGACAAUAUUCAUUGAAUCUAGACAUUUUUGAUAUUUUAUUUAUUUUUAAUUAUUUUUUAUAUUAUAUUUUUAUUAAAUAAAAGGAAAAUAUUAAAAAUAAAUAUUUAAAAAAUACCUAUUUAAAUCAAAAUGAAAACUAUUUAAAAA